This 253-nucleotide ribosomal RNA is filed under the name uncultured bacterium. RNAcentral's name for it is "partial 16S ribosomal RNA". It matches the Rfam family "Bacterial small subunit ribosomal RNA", at positions 524 to 776 of the family's 1533-position model. The record is from RNAcentral.
UACGUAGGUGGCAAGCGUUAUCCGGAAUUAUUGGGCGUAAAGCGCGCGUAGGCGGUUCCUUAAGUCUGAUGUGAAAGCCCCCGGCUCAACCGGGGAGGGUCAUUGGAAACUGGGGAACUUGAGUGCAGAAGAGGAGAGUGGAAUUCCAUGUGUAGCGGUGAAAUGCGCAGAGAUAUGGAGGAACACCAGUGGCGAAGGCGGCUCUCUGGUCUGCAACUGACGCUGAUGUGCGAAAGCGUGGGGAUCAAACAGG